Molecule: ribosomal RNA, 264 nt
Filed under: uncultured bacterium
Lineage: Bacteria
Description: partial 16S ribosomal RNA
Rfam family: Bacterial small subunit ribosomal RNA
Source: RNAcentral
GUCCACGCCCUAAACGAUGGCAACUGGGUGUUGGGGGAGCGAUUCCUCAGUACCGUAGCUAACGCGUGAAGUUGCCCGCCUGGGGAGUACGGCCGCAAGGUUAAAACUCAAAGGAAUUGACGGGGACCCGCACAAGCGGUGGAUGAUGUGGAUUAAUUCGAUGCAACGCGAACAACCUUACCUACCCUUGACAUGUCCGGAAGCCUGCCGAGAGGUGGGUGUGCCCGAAAGGGAAUCGGAACACAGGUGCUGCAUGGCUGUCGU